This is a long non-coding RNA of Pipra filicauda (Wire-tailed manakin), 393 nucleotides long. RefSeq lists it as uncharacterized. The transcript is spliced from 2 exons. NCBI's taxonomy places the organism in Eukaryota, Metazoa, Chordata, Aves, Passeriformes, Pipridae. The record is from RefSeq and is a predicted model, not a curated record.
CCUUCCUGUGCUGAGGACCCGGAGCUGAACUCAUCACUCCAGAAAAAGAACUGAAAAAGAGAACAGAACUAUCUCCCGGCGGCAAGAUAGCACAUGCGCAGAAAAAGCUGACUACGUCAAAAGGAUAAAGUGAGCGGAGCCGAGCUUGUCUCCUAGCAACAAGAUAACGCAUGCGUAAAGCCUCUUGGCGACAAGAACAGAGCCUGCGCAGAUAGACCUGAUGAACAAAGGAGGGGAUUUUAAAAGAGAUAAGCCGCUACAAACCUAUAAAAGGCAGAUUGGAAUUACUGAAGUGUGCCUUGGAUGAGCAAAGAAAGCUCAUCCAGUCACCCAGCGCUGUUUUUGCUUAUUUGAUUUUUAUAUAAAUCUAUAAUAAAACUUUUUGUUAUAAUA